RNAcentral lists this long non-coding RNA (954 nucleotides) under Capsicum annuum. RNAcentral's name for it is "long non-coding RNA (CANN_LNC010719)". Lineage: Eukaryota; Viridiplantae; Streptophyta; Magnoliopsida; Solanales; Solanaceae. The record is from RNAcentral.
UCAGUUGAUUUUUCAGCUAUCUGAACUUCGUAAACAAUACCUCGAAAAGUUAUACUUGUUACGCAAAAAAAAAAAAAGAAGUUCUUUAUCCUGAUAUCUUCUAUAUGAUAUUGUCACAAUGUAAAUCCAACAGGACAAAACUGGACUUAUCAACAAAACAAACCGGGGUUUGUUGUCACCACUUCCGAUUAUAUACUCCUCCACCUUGUAAGUAUCUUCCUUCUCAGCACGCCACAAGUAUAACAAAUCAGUCAGUUGACAAAGUGGAUUUAAUUCUUAUAGGAAACAGAUAAUAAAAAGCAUGCUAAGGAAAACUCCAGAACUCCGACCUACAGUGAGUGCGAGCUACAUAUGUUAAAUGUUAUUCUUUCCAUUUCAAUCUGUUAAGUCUUAUUUUCCUUUUUAGUCCGUUUAAAAGCAAUGUUUGUUUCCUUUUACAACAACUCCUUAAUUCUAACUAUCUACGUGGCAUGUUUAAAGAUCAUAAACUUAAAUUACAUUUUGAUACAUUCUGCAUACCUUUAUUUUAAGACCACAAGAUUCAAGUCUUCUUUUCUUUCUUAAACUUCGCGCCAAAUCAAAACCAGAAAAACAAAAUGAAACGGAGGGAGUAUUAAAUUGAGAUUCAUCUUGAUAUAUUUUUUUACCUCUACUUAUAGGCUGCCGAGCUGUUGAGACAUCAACAUUUGCAACCAUACCUCCUCUUGUGUCCCAACCCUUCAUCUGCGUUUCUUCCUGUGAAGUCCCCGAGCAGAACGAAAGAGAAAACACGACCAUCACCUGGAAAAUCAAUCAGUCCGAGAGGUAGCAGAGACAGACAAUUGAAGCUAAAAGAGAAGAGAACUGUCCUUUACUUUGAUGAAAGUGAUAACAUUCAGCCAAGAAACUUAUCUGACAAUUAUAACACAUUCCGAGCCAAACUUGACACCAAGAGAGUCGAUCCAACAAGCUACU